Molecule: ribosomal RNA, 274 nt
Filed under: uncultured bacterium
Lineage: Bacteria
Description: partial 16S ribosomal RNA
Rfam family: Bacterial small subunit ribosomal RNA
Source: RNAcentral
AUACGGAGGGGGCUAGCGUUGUUCGGAAUUAUUGGGCGUAAAGGGCGCGUAGGCGGCCUGUCAAGUCGGACGUGAAAUCCCGCGGCCCAACCGCGGAACUGCGUUCGAAACUGUCAGGCUUGAGUCCCGGAGAGGGUAGCGGAAUUCCCAGUGUAGCGGUGAAAUGCGUAGAUAUUGGGAGGAACACCAGUGGCGAAGGCGGUUACCUGGACGGGUACUGACGCUGAGGCGCGAAAGCGUGGGGAGCAAACAGGAUUAGAUACCCCAGUAGUCC